GACGAACGCUGGCGGCGUGCUUAACACAUGCAAGUCGAACGAUGAAGCCAGCUUGCUGGUGGAUUAGUGGCGAACGGGUGCGUAACACGUGGGUGAUCUGCCCCAAACUUUGGGAUAAGCCUGGGAAACUGGGUCUAAUACCGAAUAUGACCGAUACUCGCAUGGGUGUUGGUGGAAAGCUCCGGCGGUUUGGGAUGGGCCCGCGGCCUAUCAGCUUGUUGGUGGGGUAAUGGCCUACCAAGGCGACGACGGGUAGCCGGCCUGAGAGGGCGACCGGCCACACUGGGACUGAGACACGGCCCAGACUCCUACGGGAGGCAGCAGUGGGGAAUAUUGCACAAUGGGCGCAAGCCUGAUGCAGCGACGCCGCGUGAAGGAUGACGGCCUUCGGGUUGUAAACCUCUUUCACCAGGGACGAAGCGAAAGUGACGGUACCUGGAGAAGAAGCACCGGCAAACUACGUG
Molecule: ribosomal RNA, 464 nt
Filed under: uncultured bacterium
Lineage: Bacteria
Description: partial 16S ribosomal RNA
Rfam family: Bacterial small subunit ribosomal RNA
Source: RNAcentral